GAUGAAGAACGUAGCGAAAUGCGAUAAGUAGUGUGAAUUGCAGAAUUCAGUGAAUCAUCGAAUCUUUGAACGCACAUUGCGCCCCUUGGUAUUCCAUGGGGCAUGCCUGUUCGAGCGUCAUUUGUACCUUCAAGCUUUGCUUGGUGUUGGGUGUUUGUCUCGCCUUUGCGUGUAGACUCGCCUUAAAAUAAUUGGCAGCCGGCGUAUUGAUUUCGGAGCGCAGUACAUCUCGCGCUUUGCACUCAUAACGACAGCGUCCAAAAGUACAUUUUACGCUCUUGACCUCGGAUCAGGUAGGGAUACCCGCUGAACUUAAGCAUAUCAAUAAGCGGAGGA
RNAcentral lists this unclassified non-coding RNA (336 nucleotides) under soil metagenome. RNAcentral describes it as "partial contains 5.8S ribosomal RNA, internal transcribed spacer 2, and large subunit ribosomal RNA". The stretch from base 1 to 120 matches the Rfam family "5.8S ribosomal RNA", at positions 35 to 154 of the family's 154-position model. The record is from RNAcentral.